RNAcentral lists this small RNA (1371 nucleotides) under Arabidopsis thaliana (thale cress). RNAcentral's name for it is "ATSL273380". Lineage: Eukaryota; Viridiplantae; Streptophyta; Magnoliopsida; Brassicales; Brassicaceae. The record is from RNAcentral.
UUGAGUAUCACCAUCACCACCACUCGACUGCAUACUCGAUGACGAGCUUUAGAGCCUUCUUCAUUCCGCACUCAACCAGACACUCGAGCACAAGGAAGAAAAGAAGACUCCAGCUAUUCACUCGACCUCUCACUCGACCACAUGGGUCGAGUACAGUUCUUAACCCGUCCCAAUACUUCAUCGUUUUGAGUAUUAGGGUUUCGGGAUAUUUGGAUAUAAGUAGCAUGUACUUCACAUUUUCGACAAGAAGUUUUUUUUAUCUAGUUUUAUUUCCGCAGACCUUGUGUUCUAGACUUUUUGUAAUCCGGAUUUCUCUUUAUCUAUUCAGUAUUCAGUUUAUGUUCUUGAUUUCGUUUACUGUUGUUCAUUCUGUUAUCAUCCUGCUGUUAUAUUGUUGUUAUCAUGUUUUCAAUUUGUUCAACGUUUAUGCUUUCUAUUAUGAUAUCUGAGUAGUGAAUAGGUUUCUGAGGAUGGGUUAGACUAGUGUAGAAUUCUCAGUAUGCUAGGUGAUUGAGUAUUGGUUGAUAGAUCCCUUCUGGAUUAGUUGUUCUUAAUGCCUAUUGCUUUCUGAUCAACUGGAAUUUGAGCCCAUACAUUUCCGCGCCCAAAAGGUGUUCGAUGAAAUGUCUGAACCACUAAUUCCAGAGAUUCGUGACCCUGUACCAAGGUAUUGGUUGCAGGGAACGUUUUGGCUUUAACUUGUUGAUUCGUAAUGCCUGUUAGGUUAGCUCUCGUCAAUGGUGAUUGAGUCUGGGACUAGGUUAGCUUGAGAGUCUCUGUUGCGGUGGCACUUAGAUUUGGUUAAUGAACUUGUUGUCUAGGGUUAAUUUAUUGAGCAUGUCAAUCACCUGUAAACUAAGGAAACAAAACUACUCAAUUACCCCAUCCUUAGGAAUUCUUUAUCUGAUUGAUUUUAUUGUUUACUCUACUGCUGUGUACUGCAUCCUGUCAUAUGUUGCUUAGUUUAUGCAAUUCUUUACUGUUACUCGACCUGAUACUCGACCACCUAGUUGUCUGGCAACAGACUGUGCAGUCGAGUAUCCCUGUUACAUUAUCUGUCUGUUACUCGACCUGUCACUCGACCACACCCUGUGCUCUGCAACCAGCUGUGUUGGUCGAGUGUUUAUUUGUUUCUGCUUGAUUUUCUGUUUUCUGCAUGUUCACUUAGGACUGCUAGAACGCACCAAAACCUGUUAUUGCUUGGCUUGACUUAGUGACUUCUGAUCACAUCUUGAUUGUUAGCAUCACACCCAUUUGGAUUGACAACCUAAAAUACUACAACGACAUGAUUGGUGUUUUAGGAUAAUUGACUAAAAGCCUAUUAUCAAUUUGGCGCCGGUGCCAAUUGGGUGUUUGUUUGUUACAUAUGAG